GGAUGUGAGGGCGAUCUGGCUGCGACAUCUGUCACCCCAUUGAUCGCCAGGGUUGAUUCGGCUGAUCUGGCUGGCUAGGUGGGUGUCCUCUUCCUCCGUCACUGCUCCAUGUGUGUCCCUCCCUAAGCUGCGUGCUUGGUCAAAGAGGACGACCUUCCCCGCAUAGAGGAGGACCGGUCUUCUGUCAAGGGUAUACGAGUAGCUGCGCUCCCCUGCUAGAAUCUCCAAACAAGCUACCAAUAUCAGUAAUUUGGAAGCUCAUUCUAGUGCCCUUCAGACAUUGUCAGAGUGCUUUUGAGCAUGCUUAGCUAU
This 312-nucleotide small nuclear RNA is filed under the name Peromyscus maniculatus bairdii (prairie deer mouse). RNAcentral describes it as "7SK RNA (ENSPEMG00000004438.2)". It matches the Rfam family "7SK RNA". From Rfam's summary of the family: 7SK was discovered as an abundant small nuclear RNA in the mid-70s but a possible function has only recently been suggested. Two independent studies have found that 7SK RNA binds the CDK9/cyclin T complex (known as elongation factor P-TEFb). The record is from RNAcentral. Lineage: Eukaryota; Metazoa; Chordata; Mammalia; Rodentia; Cricetidae.